AGAGUUUGAUCCUGGCUCAGGAUGAACGCUAGCGGGAGGCCUAACACAUGCAAGUCGAGGGGUAACGGAAGUAGCUUGCUACUAGACGACGACCGGCGCACGGGUGAGUAACGCGUAUGUAAUCUGCCUUGUACAGAGGGAUAGCCCAGAGAAAUUUGGAUUAAUACCUCAUAGUAUUACCGAAUCGCAUGAUUUGGUAAUUAAAGCUCCGGCGGUACAAGAUGAACAUGCGUGACAUUAGCUAGUUGGUAAGGUAACGGCUUACCAAGGCCACGAUGUCUAGGGGUUCUGAGAGGAUGAUCCCCCACACUGGUACUGAGACACGGACCAGACUCCUACGGGAGGCAGCAGUGAGGAAUAUUGGUCAAUGGACGCAAGUCUGAACCAGCCAUCCCGCGUGAAGGAUGACUGCCCUAUGGGUUGUAAACUUCUUUUAUAUGCAAAUAAACCUACUUUCGUGAAAGUAGCUGAAGGUAGCAUAUGAAUAAACACCGGCUAACUCCGUGCCAGCAGCCGCGGUAAUACGGAGGGUGUAAGCGUUAUCCGGAUUUAUUGGGUUUAAAGGGUACGUAGGCGGUAAUAUAAGUCAGUGGUGAAAUCCUGCAGCUCAACUGUAGAACUGCCAUUGAAACUGUAUUACUUGAGUAUACUUGAGGUAGGCGGAAUGAGUAGUGUAGCGGUGAAAUGCUUAGAUAUUACUCAGAACACCGAUUGCGAAGGCAGCUUACUAAGGUAUAACUGACGCUGAUGUACGAAAGCGUGGGGAGCGAACAGGAUUAGAUACCCUGGUAGUCCACGCCGUAAACGAUGAU
This 812-nucleotide ribosomal RNA is filed under the name uncultured bacterium. RNAcentral describes it as "bacterial SSU rRNA". It matches the Rfam family "Bacterial small subunit ribosomal RNA", at positions 8 to 813 of the family's 1533-position model. The record is from RNAcentral.